Long non-coding RNA from Pundamilia nyererei, 607 nucleotides. RefSeq lists it as uncharacterized. The record is from RefSeq and is a predicted model, not a curated record. The transcript is spliced from 4 exons. Lineage: Eukaryota; Metazoa; Chordata; Actinopteri; Cichliformes; Cichlidae.
GAACUCCAGGCCUCAAGGCUGAAGAGGACCACUUGUUCCAGAAGGUGGCAGCAGUUCACCAGCGGCAGAAAGACCUAAAGAAGAAGACACCUCCGCUCUUCCUCCUGUUGGUGCUAAAGUGACCUCUGCUGUUUAUCGUAAGCCUGCCGUGAAACUAUGGUUCCUCCGGUUGCAGUGUCACCUCUGAUUAAGACAGCCAGGUACUCAGCUUUGAUUGCUGGGAUCAUAUAUGGCAAAAGGAGAUAUGAUCACCUGAAGCCUAUUGCAGCGGAAGAGAGGAGGAUUGAGGAGGAGGAGAAGAAGGUCCGUGAAGAGCAGGAGCGCAUCGCCAAGCAGCUAGCAGAAGCAAAUGAUGACAGCAUUCUGAAGUAAAGCGUUGGAGUGCUGUUCCAGGAUGUCCACGUCCACGUGCAAUUUCCAACCUCUUCCACUCUAUCUGGAGUAGCUAUGGCAAAAUGGGGUCACUGCCACUCAAAAACACUCCUAUUUUGUGGACAUGUUCACCGCUACCUUUGAUAAUACAGCAGCCCUUUGGUUUUCCAGAUAUUGUGAUUUAAUGUUAGUCAUGGAUUAUUGAGUAAAGCUUUUGAACUCUUAAUGCCAUAUA